This 405-nucleotide ribosomal RNA is filed under the name uncultured bacterium. RNAcentral's name for it is "bacterial SSU rRNA". It matches the Rfam family "Bacterial small subunit ribosomal RNA", at positions 29 to 418 of the family's 1533-position model. The record is from RNAcentral.
AAUCAACGCUGGCGGCGUGCCUAACACAUGCAAGUCGAACGCGAAAGUCCCGCAAGGGGCAAGUAGAGUGGCAAACGUGUGAGUAACACGUGGGUGACCUGCCUUCGAGUGGGGGAGUAACGUCCCGAAAGGGACGGCUAAUACCGCAUAACAUCCUGCCUUUGAAGAGGCGGACAUCAAAGCUGGGGACCGGCAAGGCCUGGCGCUUGAAGAGGGGCCCGCGCCUGAUUAGCAGUUGGUGGGGUAAUGGCUCACCAAGGCAUCGAUCAGUAUCCGGCCUGAGAGGGCGGACGGACACACUGGGACUGAGACACGGCCCAGACUCCUACGGGAGGCAGCAGUGGGGAAUUGUUCGCAAUGGGCGCAAGCCUGACGACGCAACGCCGCGUGGAGGACGAAGACCUU